AGUGAACGCUGGCGGUAGGCCUAACACAUGCAAGUCGAACGGCAGCACAGUAAGAGCUUGCUCUUACGGGUGGCGAGUGGCGGACGGGUGCGGAAUACAUCGGAAUCUACUUUUUCGUGGGGGAUAACGUAGGGAAACUUACGCUAAUCCCGCAUACGACCUACGGGUGAAAGCAUGGGAUCUUCGGACCUUGCGCGAUUGUAUGAGCCGAUGUCGGAUUAGCUAGUUGGCGGGGUAAAGGCCCACCAAGGCGACGAUCCGUAGCUGGUCUGAGAGGAUGAUCAGCCACACUGGAACUGAGACACGGUCCAGACUCCUACGGGAGGCAGCAGUGGGGAAUAUUGGACAAUGGGCGCAAGCCUGAUCCAGCCAUACCGCGUGGGUGAAGAAGGCCUUCGGGUUGUAAAGCCCUUUUGUUGGGAAAGAAAAGCAGCAGGUUAAUACCCCGCUGUUCUGACGGUACCCAAAGAAUAAGCACCGGCUAACUUCGUG
RNAcentral lists this ribosomal RNA (492 nucleotides) under uncultured bacterium. RNAcentral's name for it is "partial 16S ribosomal RNA". It matches the Rfam family "Bacterial small subunit ribosomal RNA", at positions 29 to 507 of the family's 1533-position model. The record is from RNAcentral.